Molecule: non-coding RNA, 218 nt
Organism: Biomphalaria pfeifferi
Lineage: Eukaryota; Metazoa; Mollusca; Gastropoda; Planorbidae
Source: the annotation of a GenBank genome assembly
GACAUAUACAAUACAAAGUGACGUCUGCUGCUUACUAAAGACGCGCGCCAGCCAGCGUCAUCUCUUCCCUAGAACGUGCGACUCCAGUCUUGUGCCAGUUGAGGUGACCACUUCCUCUUGCCAACUGUCAAGUAUGCUGCUGCUUUGUCGGGUGGAACCUCGUCCCACACCCCUCCCGCACUCAGAUUAAAAACUCUCUCAUCACUUCCUCGCCCUAA